RNAcentral lists this long non-coding RNA (1145 nucleotides) under Otus sunia (Oriental scops-owl). RNAcentral describes it as "lncRNA (ENSOSUG00000002916.1)". Lineage: Eukaryota; Metazoa; Chordata; Aves; Strigiformes; Strigidae. The record is from RNAcentral.
CGCCGCCCGGUGCCGCCCGGAGCCGCCCGGUGCCGGGGAUGAGGCGCGAGGGCGGCGCGGCCCCGCGGGCCGAGGCUUGCGAUGUCUGGCUGGACACCGCCGCGCUGAAGCGGAGCGCGGCCCAGCCUCUCGCAGCCAAGUCAAAAGUCUCUACUCGGAUUCUGGGACGGAAACGCGCCGCAGUCGCUGUCACGCCGACGGGAGCCUCUCGGCCACACGCCCGGCAAACCACCAUCCCCAUCUUCUUCGGCUCGCAGACAGAUCAAACAGACAAAGAAAACUUCAGGCCGUCUCCUUUCAUCCUGAAUAAAAACUCUAAAGAAAAAGGUAUUUCUCCGGCCGCUACCCCUGUGAAGAUCUUGGCUUUGCCACAGCUGGAGGAAGCCCAGACACAACCCUUCGGGUUCGGGGGGACGGCGCAGGUGACACCCCAGCGCCGUGCACGGGCAGCGCCGGCCGCGCCGCCUCCUGCGCCAGGCUCCUGGUUGGUACCGGCAGAGUCCCACAGCCCAAGCGAAGCCUCCUGUGGGCCGGGGGAGGAUUCCUGCUGCUUCAGCUUCACCCAGGAUUCAGAGAACAACUGGGUCAUCGCACACAGAAACGAUUUAUCUGAUUUAUCAGCUGGAGAAGUUUCAGAGGGCGGGAUAACAGAGCGAGAGGGGCGGCCGCCCCCAGAGGAGGCCCAGACCGGGCUGGAUUUCCAACCAAGACUUGGUGCAAACCAGAAUAAGAAACCACACCACUCGAGUAGCGUUGAUUCCUUAACUGAUUUCUCUGAAACUGAGAAUAUAAAUCCUGCUCUAACGGGAGGCAGCACCUGGGCUGCCGGGUUUUAUUCACCUCCACACCGAGCAGCUCGAGCGCAGCCCCUGCGCGAGCGCAGCCACAACGCUGGCGCGGCCCCGGGCGGUGAGGGGGGCCGGAGCCGUCCCUGCAGGCAGCUCUUCACCCAGGACUCGGAGGGGAACAGAGUCAUCGCCCACCGCUGUCAGGACAUCCCCCCCCCUCGCCAGUGCCAGGGCAGCUCUCGCAGGCAGCUGCCCAACUCUCCCUGCCAGGGCGGCUCCGGGGAGCGGCGGUUAGAGGUGUGUUACGAGUCGCUGUUCACGCAGGACUCGGAGGGGAACAGGGUGAUUAAACACUGA